UACGGAGGGUGCGAACGUUAAUCGGAAUCACUGGGCGUAAAGCGCGCGUAGGCGGUCUGUUAAGUGGGAUGUGAAAUCCCCGGGCUUAACCUGGGAAUUGCAUUUCGAACUGGCCGACUAGAGUACGGUAGAGGGAGGUAGAAUUUCCUGUGUAGCGGUGAAAUGCGUAGAUAUAGGAAGGAAUACCAGUGGCGAAGGCGGCCUCCUGGAUCGACACUGACGCUGAGGCGCGAAAGCUAGGGGAGCAAACGGG
This 253-nucleotide ribosomal RNA is filed under the name uncultured bacterium. Its description in RNAcentral is "partial 16S ribosomal RNA". It matches the Rfam family "Bacterial small subunit ribosomal RNA", at positions 524 to 776 of the family's 1533-position model. The record is from RNAcentral.